This 500-nucleotide ribosomal RNA is filed under the name uncultured bacterium. RNAcentral describes it as "partial 16S ribosomal RNA". It matches the Rfam family "Bacterial small subunit ribosomal RNA", at positions 29 to 523 of the family's 1533-position model. The record is from RNAcentral.
AUUGAACGCUGGCGGCAUGCUUUACACAUGCAAGUCGAACGGUAACAGGGUGCUUGCACCGCUGACGAGUGGCGAACGGGUGAGUAAUGCGUCGGAACGUGCCGAGUAGUGGGGGAUAACGCAGCGAAAGUUGUGCUAAUACCGCAUACGUACUGAGGUAGAAAGUGGGGGACGUUCGGGCCUCACGCUAUUCGAUCGGCCGACGUCUGAUUAGCUGGUAGGUGAGGUAAAGGCUCACCUGGGCGACGAUCAGUAGCGGGUCUGAGAGGAUGAUCCGCCAAAGUGGGAAUGAGAGACGGCCCGGACUCCGAGGGGAGGCAGCAGAGGGGAAUUGUGGACAAUGGGCGAAAGCCUGAUACAGCCAUGCCGCGUGUCUGAAGAAGGAGUUCGGGUUGUAAAGGGCUUUUGUCAGGGAGGAAAACCCUAGUGCUAAUAACACUGGGGGAGGACAGUACCUGAAGAAUAAGCACCGGCUAACUACGUGCCAGCCGCCGCCGUAA